This 429-nucleotide ribosomal RNA is filed under the name Chloroflexota bacterium. RNAcentral describes it as "Chloroflexi bacterium partial 16S ribosomal RNA". It matches the Rfam family "Bacterial small subunit ribosomal RNA", at positions 355 to 776 of the family's 1533-position model. The record is from RNAcentral. Lineage: Bacteria; Bacillati; Chloroflexota.
UGGGGAAUAUUGCACAAUGGGCGCAAGCCUGAUGCAGCCAUGCCGCGUGUAUGAAGAAGGCCUUCGGGUUGUAAAGUACUUUCAGCGGGGAGGAAGGGAGUAAAGUUAAUACCUUUGCUCAUUGACGUUACCCGCAGAAGAAGCACCGGCUAACUCCGUGCCAGCAGCCGCGGUAAUACGGAGGGUGCAAGCGUUAAUCGGAAUUACUGGGCGUAAAGCGCACGCAGGCGGUUUGUUAAGUCAGAUGUGAAAUCCCCGGGCUCAACCUGGGAACUGCAUCUGAUACUGGCAAGCUUGAGUCUCGUAGAGGUGGGUAGAAUCCCAGGUGUAGCGGUGAAAUGCGUAGAGAUCUGGAGGAAUACCGGUGGCGAAGGCGGCCCCCUGGACGAAGACUGACGCUCAGGUGCGAAAGCGUGGGGAGCAAACAGG